RNAcentral lists this transfer RNA (73 nucleotides) under Caudoviricetes sp. RNAcentral's name for it is "tRNA-Lys". It matches the Rfam family "tRNA". Rfam says of the family: Transfer RNA (tRNA) molecules are approximately 80 nucleotides in length. Their secondary structure includes four short double-helical elements and three loops (D, anti-codon, and T loops). Lineage: Duplodnaviria; Heunggongvirae; Uroviricota; Caudoviricetes. The record is from RNAcentral.
GGAGUCGUAGCUCAGUCGGAAGAGCAGGGGACUUUUAAUCCCAAGGUCGUGGGUUCGAUUCUCACCGACUCCA